GUUUUGGGGGUUGUUUGGUGGUGGAGGUUUUAUGGAAGAGGAAAGCCCAGAUCCUCCCAGAAAUGUGUCUAUAAACCUUGUCUAUAAUAUAUUAAGAAGCUGCAACUUCAAAGAAGAGAAUGGACUUCUGGGAUGUAGGAUCACUGCUUCAACUUCAUGUCCAAACCUCAUAUGCAUCAAACCUCUCUAGACCACAGGAGAUGAUGUGUUGACAACAGCGCAGUAGAAGAACAGAUCAGAGAAGAUACUACACUGAGAGACAUCAUGGCUAAAGGAUUUUAAAGGAUGGUGAAGGAACAUGUGCUUGAGAAGCUAUGACAACUUGCAGUGUCUUUGGUCAAAGGAAACAGGACUUGAGAACCCUCAGAAUGCAGUGUGAAUGCCUGGAAGAAAGACUCACCAAGCAAGCUUUGUAACAGACACUGGAGGACAUCAUCAUCAAAUUGCAAAUACUGCUGUCAAUAGAAAGAAAGGAAGCUCUAUUUUUCAAAUCACACACCCUCUACAAAUUACUGCCUCAGCUGUAAUUAGGAACAUGCCCUUAAGUAUAAAUAAAACACACAAUAGGAAAAAAAAGAAAAAAAAGAAUUUCACUCUGACUUUUGACAGGGACACUUUGUGAGAUCCCAAUUAGGAUUCUUUGUACUUAAACCAAAAAAAUAAAUCAGAUCCAUGCUGUUGAAUACUGACUCACUGUAACAAAUUAGCCACUGGGACAUGAAGGUUUCCUAUUGUAACCUGCUGGAUAUCACCAUCAUAUUUUGCAUUGCUCCAUAUGAAAAUUAUCUGCCUCUUUUCACACCCUAGCACAGAUUCUUUUUUUUCCUUUCACUCUCCCUUAGCCCUUCUACAUAUACAGAACACCUGUUAAUUGUCAUUAAAAUUGAAUAUCACUGACUCAGGACAGAUCAUGUCUGUCUGCUCUGUUGUGAAACAUGACAGUGCUGCAUGAAUGACUCUCAAAGACUGCUAUUCACAAAUAUUCUUUUUAAGCCUGUUCCAGCAUCCUGUAAUAUCAGUGGAAGUCCUUCCUUUGAUUUCAGUGGGAGUUGGGUGAUAUCUUUAAUUCAAAAAUUACGAAAGCAGCUGGAAUUUGAGACAAACCCUCAGAUUGAAAUCUACAGAUGUGUGGGAUAACUUAAAACUACAGCAUCUGAGGAAGGGUAACACAGGAUUUUAUUGUGUAGCAUUUCCCCUAGGAACUUAUAGUGAAUUAUUGAAAUAAGACGUGGUUUUGAACAGCUUUACAUUCAACAUUUCAUAUUCUGAACGUUUCCAGGUCUCAAAUGAAAUAAUAUGACAUUAAGCACACAUGAUGUCUUUUACUGGAGGGUCCUACAAUGUUUUAGAAACAAUAAUUAAGCUUGCAAGGUAUUUAAGUGCUGCUACAGAUGGUCACUGAGGCACAAAGACAUUUCCAAGGUCACUCAACAAAUCAGCGACAGCAACAGAGCCAAACCCCAGGAGCCUCCCUUGCCCCACUGUUCAAAACACUGCAACCAAAUGCAGGACCAGCAUGUGCCUCUGCUCCGUGAUCUCACUAUUCCAUGCAUUUUUAUUCCUUUUCCUGAAGGUUUUUUGUGAGUAUUGGGUGUUUGGUUAUACAUAGCAGACAGGCUAAUAUGCUGAUGUAAAUUGGCUGGGUUUGAUUGACUUCUGUGCACUGUAUCGUGUGCAAGAGCAGCAUUUGCAUUUAGCUUUGAUAUAGAAUGAUGUGAAAUAUGACAGUUUGAUGCAGUUGGCUGCAGUCAUCCUCAGGCCCUGCAGGUCUAAUUUAAAAGACAUUGUUGCUGACUUCAUUGGAGCUAUGACAGUUGAAACCAGCUGAGGACCUGACCCAGAAAUUUCAUAACACCUUUGAAAACAGAGAAGAAGCUAUAAGUUCAUGUAACAGGAAUGACUGGUAGAUCAUAAAUCAUAUUUGGGCACUUUAUACAUUCAAUAAGCUGUUUAUUGAACUGAAGUCAAGGAUUUGGUAUGCAAAUACACAGGAUUGCUUCUUUAUUCAGAUGUAAAUACAUAAACAAACACAAACUAAGAAUUAGGAGUAAAUGACUCUUUGGUACUACAUGUUUCUAUUUGCCCAGUGAAGGAACUCUGGAACCAUUUUCACAAUCCCCUGCUAUGAGGCAAUUCUCAUCACCCAUAAUAAAUGUUUAUUUUAAAACUUUAGACUCUUAGAAGGGGAAUAAGCAGAGUCUGAGAGCUGACGAUCUUUCCACUGACCACAGAAUAGGUCAGUAGUGGAGCAGGGUUUAGACUUCAGCAUUCCUCAAAUCCCCUUCCCGUAUUCACCCUUCUAGAGCUGAGUCUCCUAAUUUUGGAGUUGACUUUUAGUGACAUACCAUCAAAACAAGUCAUCGUUUUUUUCAGGGCGAGAUAAUGGGACUGGAAUUUACAACUACCAGAACCUUUGCCAUGUUUGAUCAUCAACAUAAAACUCUGUCUGACUCCUAUAGCCAGAUUUCCUCAAACUUUGAACUUUUCCACUAAGUGUAAUUGCACAGCCCAGUAACUCACCAUUUCCUAGGUCAACUCAUCUGAGACACUGACUAAACCCUCAUUCACCUUCCAUUUACAAAGAAGAAAGGGAAUGUGUUUCUGAAUUUAUUAUAAUCAUUACUCAGACAUAUAUGCUUGCCUUUAAACUCAAACCAAAAACAUUUAAAAAUCGCUUUUAAAAAGAGAAAGACUAUCAAAAAAUUAUGGCCUUUCACAUUAAUUUAGAAGCUAUAAAAAUACAUAUUUUUUCUGACUUAUGACCAAUAUACAAUAUUUGGCCAUGUUCUGAAGGGCAAGAGAGAUUGUCUGGACAGUAACCAAAAUGUUAUCUUAUUCUCUGACUACUUUCAAAUAUUAAUUAGGGUAAACCUAAGCUUGUAAAAUGGAAUAAUCAUUUUAGCACUUUUAUCAUAACUUAUGAGUAUUGCAUGCUAAUGAACAAGAAAUAUCAUCACUGCUAUAAAGUACCUGAGGACAACU
Long non-coding RNA from Cygnus atratus (black swan), 2982 nucleotides. RefSeq lists it as uncharacterized. The transcript is spliced from 5 exons. Lineage: Eukaryota; Metazoa; Chordata; Aves; Anseriformes; Anatidae. The record is from RefSeq and is a predicted model, not a curated record.